Molecule: ribosomal RNA, 510 nt
Filed under: uncultured bacterium
Lineage: Bacteria
Description: partial 16S ribosomal RNA
Rfam family: Bacterial small subunit ribosomal RNA
Source: RNAcentral
GACGAACGCUGGCGGCGUGCUUAACACAUGCAAGUCGAACGAAGAGCGACGGAAGCUUGCUUCUAUCAAUCUUAGUGGCGAAUGGGUGAGUAACGCGUAAUCAACCUGCCCUUCAGAGGGGGACAACAGUUGGAAACGACUGCUAAUACCGCAUACGAUCUAACCUCGGCAUCGAGGAUAGAUGAAAGGUGGCCUCUACAUGUAAGCUAUCACUGAAGGAGGGGAUUGCGUCUGAUUAGCUAGUUGGAGGGGUAACGGCCCACCAAGGCGAUGAUCAGUAGCCGGUCUGAGAGGAUGAACGGCCACAAUGGGACUGAGACACGGCCCAGACUCCUACGGGAGGCAGCAGUAGGGAAUCUUCCGCAAUGGACGAAAGUCUGACGGAGCAACGCCGCGUGAGUGAUGACGGCCGUCGGGUUGUAAAGCUCUGUUAAUCGGGACGAAAGGCCUUCUUGCGAAUAGUGAGAAGGAUUGACGGUACCGGAAGAGAAAGCCACGGCUAACUACGUG